Molecule: ribosomal RNA, 438 nt
Filed under: uncultured bacterium
Lineage: Bacteria
Description: bacterial SSU rRNA
Rfam family: Bacterial small subunit ribosomal RNA
Source: RNAcentral
ACGAACGCUGACGGUACUCCUAACACAUGCAAGUCGAACGAAGUGUAGCAAUACAUUUAGUGGCAAACGGGUGAGUAACACGUGGGAACAUGCCUUUAAGUGGGGGAUAAUUGAGGGAAACCUCUUGUAAUACCGCAUAUUCUCGAGAGAGGAAAGGUGAAAAUCGCUUAAAGAGUGGCCUGCGCUGGAUUUUUUCUAGUUGGUGAGGUAAUGGCUCACCAAGGUAUAAUCCAUAGUUGGUCUGAGAGGAUGAUCAGCCACACUGGGACUGAGAUACGGCCCAGACUCCUACGGGGGGCAGCAGUGGGGAAUAUUGGACAAUGGGGGCAACCCUGAUCCAUAGAUACCGUGUGAGCGAAGAAGGUUUUCGGAUUGUAAAGCUCUUUUAACAGGGAAGAUUAUGACGGUACCUGUAGAAUAAGCACCGGCUAACUCUGU